AAAUAUUCGGUAGAUAUCCACAGUGAUAGACUCUUCCCCCAUAAACAAACAUUAUGGUCCAACUUCAGUGAUUAAACUCAGCAAACGUCAGUUUCCCAAUCUUAUUUUGUAAUCUUCUAAUGUUUCAUGAAGACACCAGGAUUAAGAGCCUCCAAGAAUUUUUAUAUCACUUGGACAAUAGAUACCACAGAAAUGUUCUGCCUACAAAGCACAUACGAAUUCCCAGCAGCAUUGUGUGCGGCGCACAUUAUUUAACACCGCGUGUAAACCCCCCGGCAGGCGCAUCUAGGCGCAGCGCGCUGCUUUGCAUUUGCAAUUAUUACCCAACCUUUGCAUCCCUUGCGCUGAUACCGGCCCCAUUCCCAGCUGCGGAGCCACAUCUGGCCGACUGACGAUGCCAACAAGUUGGGGCGAGGCAGGGCCGGGCAGGACAGGGUAGGAUGCGGGCGGGAUGCUGGACCAGCCGCGGCGGGCGCGGAGCGGGCGCNCCCGGCGCUCUCCCUCACCCGGUCCCAGCCUGCGCUAGGGGACGUUCUGCUCGGGCGUUCUCCGCAGGAAGAGCUGUUAGACAUUGGAACGGGCUGCCCAGGGCAGUGCUGGAGUCACCGUCCCUGGAGGUGUUUAAGGAAAGACCACCGAGUGCUGGUGUGGUUGUCACAGUGGUGUCCGCUCAUAGACUGGACUCGAUGAUCUCGGAGUCUCUUGAUUCUGCGAUUCUGAGCACUGACCUGCGCCCAGAUUGUUUGUCUGUCCAGAAAUCUCCUCCCUGUUUACAGAGAUGUUCCUCAAACCAUGUCAAGGUCAGUGCUUGAUAUUUUGACGAUGUCACUCAGAGCAUGGAAGGAUUUUUCCCCAUGCAUCAGGUCCCCAGUAGUUCUUGUAGAAUGUAAGAGAACUGUUUGUUAAGGAAGUUGUUCCAGACAAGGUGUUAGGAUAAAUGGCCACAUUUGUGUUGUAGUAACGCUUCAUGGAAUGCCUUUCUAUUUUCCUGUCAUUUUUGUCCUUUGAAAAAGUGACUUCUUAAGAAAAAAUAAAAAUAAAGCAUUUCAGAAAGCUCA
This 1058-nucleotide long non-coding RNA is filed under the name Cyanistes caeruleus (blue tit). RNAcentral's name for it is "lncRNA (ENSCCEG00000008676.1)". Lineage: Eukaryota; Metazoa; Chordata; Aves; Passeriformes; Paridae. The record is from RNAcentral.